AAUGGCGGGUGCUACCAUGCAAGUCGAACGGAGGUUUUCAGCAAUGGAGAUCUUAGUGGCGAACGGGUGAGUAACGCGUAAACAACCUGCCUCAUAGAUGGGGACAACACCGCGAAAGUGGUGCUAAUACCGAAUGUUUUAACUUUGCUGCAUGGCAGAGUUAAUAAAGGUGGCCUCUAAAUUAUGCUACCGUUAUGAGAGGGGUUUGCGUCUGAUUAGCUAGUUGGCGGGGUAACGGCCCACCAAGGCGACGAUCAGUAGCCGGUCUGAGAGGAUGAACGGCCACACUGGGACUGAGACACGGCCCAGACUCCUACGGGAGGCAGCAGUGGGGAAUCUUCCGCAAUGGACGAAAGUCUGACGGAGCAACGCCGCGUGAGUGAAGAAGGUUUUCGGAUCGUAAAGCUCUGUCUUUUGGGACGAAUGUGCUGUAGGUGAAUAAUCUGUAGCAAUGACGGUACUAAAGGAGGAAGCCACGGCUAACUACGUGCCAGCAGCCGCGGUAAUACGUAGGUGGCGAGCGUUGUCCGGAAUUAUUGGGCGUAAAGGGCGCGUAGGCGGAUCUGUAAGUCUGACUUAAAAGUGCAGGGCUCAACCCUGUGAGGGGUCAGAAACUAUAGAUCUUGAGUGCAGGAGAGGAAAGUGGAAUUCCCAGUGUAGCGGUGAAAUGCGUAGAUAUUGGGAGGAACACCAGUGGCGAAGGCGACUUUCUGGACUGUGUCUGACGCUGAGGCGCGAAAGCCAGGGGAGUGAACGGGAUUAGAUACCCCGGUAAUCCUGGCCGUAAACGAUGGGUACUAGUGUAGGAGGUAUCGACCCC
RNAcentral lists this ribosomal RNA (820 nucleotides) under uncultured Propionispora sp. RNAcentral describes it as "bacterial SSU rRNA". It matches the Rfam family "Bacterial small subunit ribosomal RNA", at positions 38 to 839 of the family's 1533-position model. The record is from RNAcentral. Lineage: Bacteria; Bacillati; Bacillota; Negativicutes; Selenomonadales; Sporomusaceae.